This 433-nucleotide ribosomal RNA is filed under the name uncultured bacterium. RNAcentral's name for it is "partial 16S ribosomal RNA". It matches the Rfam family "Bacterial small subunit ribosomal RNA", at positions 29 to 507 of the family's 1533-position model. The record is from RNAcentral.
AACGAACGCUGGCGGCAGGCCUAACACAUGCAAGUCGAGCGAGAUCUUCGGGUCUAGCGGCGGACGGGUGAGUAACGCGUGGGAAUAUGCCUCUUGGUACGGAAUAGCCUCGGGAAACUGGGAGUAAUACCGUAUGUGCCCUUUGGGGGAAAGAUUUAUCGCCAAGAGAUUAGCCCGCGUUGGAUUAGGUAGUUGGUGGGGUAAUGGCCUACCAAGCCGACGAUCCAUAGCUGGUUUGAGAGGAUGAUCAGCCACACUGGGACUGAGACACGGCCCAGACUCCUACGGGAGGCAGCAGUGGGGAAUCUUAGACAAUGGGGGCAACCCUGAUCUAGCCAUGCCGCGUGAGUGAUGAAGGCCUUAGGGUUGUAAAGCUCUUUCAGCUAGGAAGAUACUGACGGUACCAGCAGAAGAAGCCCCGGCUAACUCCGUG